UUUCUUUCAUGUGAUUAAAGGUUACUUUAGGGACUUCUUUGUCCCAUUUUGUUGUUUCUUUUAGGUGGACAUGAAAGGGUGAAGGGCCACAUUAUCACAUGGUUUCUGACAACAUGAAUGAAUGGUAUCUGGGUACCACUCACUCCUUUCCUUUUCACUCUUUAACCUCUUUCAUGCUUAAACAUUUUUUCCUUAAUUGUAUUUUGCCAUUUUGCUUUAAUGGGUAUUUUGCAAGUCCCUUAUAUGCUACAGUUUACUAGUCUUGCUGCCAGCAGAAUUGGCCCCUCACCACACAAUUUGGGAGUUCAAACAGAAAAGAAACUGGGGCAUUGUCACCUUCUGUUGGCAGUUGUGGGGAUUAGUUGGAUGAUUUAGCAUCAAAAAAAAAAAAAAAGAAAAAGAAAAAGAUUUUGCAUAAUUGUACCAUUUGUCCAUCUUGUUAAGUUCUUGUUCUAUUUAGGGUAGAUGUUUGUUGCUCAUGUUUUGGGCAGCAAGUGAGAGUUGUAGCAGGACCAGCAUGGCAGUUGUGUGUGUGGUGGAUGACCCAAGUGUCUAUUGAUUUUGCAGUGUAGGUCUUUGGGAGGUUAAGAUGUCAAAAUCUAAGCACUCCUUUGCCUCAUGGGAAAUAGCUGGCCAUCUCAAUCAAAAUUUUAGGCUCUCUUUUUUGUCUCUAAUUUGGUUGCUAAGUUUGAGUAGCCUCCUCAAUUAUUUAUUGUAUUAUGUAAAGUAAGAGGUACUAAUCACAGCAUUUGAGCAUUCCCUUCUCUGUUUGCAUAGAUUAGACAAUCUAAGGAUGGAU
This 799-nucleotide long non-coding RNA is filed under the name Manihot esculenta (cassava). Its description in RNAcentral is "long non-coding RNA (MESC_LNC008229)". Lineage: Eukaryota; Viridiplantae; Streptophyta; Magnoliopsida; Malpighiales; Euphorbiaceae. The record is from RNAcentral.